RNAcentral lists this ribosomal RNA (426 nucleotides) under uncultured bacterium. RNAcentral describes it as "bacterial SSU rRNA". It matches the Rfam family "Bacterial small subunit ribosomal RNA", at positions 61 to 527 of the family's 1533-position model. The record is from RNAcentral.
GUCAUACGAGAGUUUUUAACUCAAGUGGCGGACGGGUGAGUAACACGUAAGAAUUUGCCUUUAGGAGGGGGAUAAAACUGGAGGCAGUUGGUAAUACCCCAUAUGCUUUCGAGUAAAAUGGAGUUUUCCGCCUAGAGAGAAGCUUGCGGCUGAUUAGCUUGUUGGUAAGGUAAUGGCUUACCAAGGCGACGAUCAGUAUCUGGUUUGAGAGGGCGAUCAGACACACUGGAACUGAGACACGGUCCAGACUCCUACGGGAGGCAGCAGUGGGGAAUUUUCCGCAAUGGGCGAAAGCCUGACGGAGCAAUACCGCGUGAGGGAUGACGGCCUAUGGGUUCUAAACCUCUUUUUUCAGGGAGCAAUAAAAUGACGUUUACCUGAAGAAUAAGCAUCGGCUAACUCCGUGCCAGCAGCCGCGGUAAUACG